Molecule: ribosomal RNA, 253 nt
Filed under: uncultured bacterium
Lineage: Bacteria
Description: partial 16S ribosomal RNA
Rfam family: Bacterial small subunit ribosomal RNA
Source: RNAcentral
GACAGAGGGUGCAAACGUUGUUCGGAAUUACUGGGCGUAAAGCGCGUGUAGGCUGUCCCGUAAGUCUGAUGUGAAAGCCCACGGCUCAACCGUGGAGGGUCAUUGGAAACUGGGGAACUUGAGUGCAGGAGAGAAGAGUGGAAUUCCACGUGUAGCGGUGAAAUGCGUAGAGAUGUGGAGGAACACCAGUGGCGAAGGCGACUCUUUGGCCUGUAACUGACACUGAGGCGCGAAAGCGUGGGGAGCAAACAGG